Molecule: long non-coding RNA, 386 nt
Filed under: Spirodela polyrhiza (greater duckweed)
Lineage: Eukaryota; Viridiplantae; Streptophyta; Magnoliopsida; Alismatales; Araceae
Description: long non-coding RNA (SPOL_LNC000123)
Source: RNAcentral
CCAGAGGAGGGAGAUCGCUCUUCUUGUAGGGAAUUUCUUUCCAGAGGAGAGCUGGAUGCGACCGCCCUGUCAGGUUUCUUGAGCGGAGGAUGCUUCAUCUCGGGGCUGCAGCUGCACGCAUUCUCGGGCAAAGCUGGACUCGACAGGACCUGCCCAGUAGCCAGCGCUCUGAUCAAGUUAUACGCGGGAAACGGACGUCUCCAUUACGCUCACCAAGUGUUCGAUGAAAUGACUCACAGAAGCACCGCUUCCUGGACAGCCAUAAUCGCCGGGUACGCGCAGAAUUCGCAGCUCCAAACGGCCCUGCAGCUGUUCAUCCAGAUGAAGCGAUCGAGCUCGAAGCCCAACGACUACACCCUCUCGAGCCUCCUCAGCGGCUGUGCCGG